UAGGGAAUAUUGGGCAAUGGACGCAAGUCUGACCCAGCCAUGCCGCGUGCAGGAAGAAGGCUUUCUGAGUCGUAAACUGCUUUUGAACAGGAACAAAGAGCCCUUGCGAGGGAAGUUGAGUGUACUGUUAGAAUAAGCACCGGCUAACUCCGUGCCAGCAGCCGCGGUAAUACGGAGGGUGCAAGCGUUGUCCGGAUUUAUUGGGUUUAAAGGGUGCGUAGGCGGCUCUUUAAGUCAGUGGUGAAAUCCUUCAGCUUAACUGAAGAAUUGCCAUUGAUACUGAAGAGCUUGAGUACAGACGAGGUAGGCGGAAUUUAUGGUGUAGCGGUGAAAUGCAUAGAUACCAUAAAGAACCCCUAUUGCGAAGGCAGCUUACUAGGCUGUAACUGACGCUGAGGCACGAAAGCGUGGGGAUCAAACA
Molecule: ribosomal RNA, 421 nt
Filed under: uncultured Sporocytophaga sp.
Lineage: Bacteria; Pseudomonadati; Bacteroidota; Cytophagia; Cytophagales; Cytophagaceae
Description: bacterial SSU rRNA
Rfam family: Bacterial small subunit ribosomal RNA
Source: RNAcentral